RNAcentral lists this long non-coding RNA (212 nucleotides) under Elaeis guineensis (African oil palm). RNAcentral's name for it is "long non-coding RNA (EGUI_LNC082271)". Lineage: Eukaryota; Viridiplantae; Streptophyta; Magnoliopsida; Arecales; Arecaceae. The record is from RNAcentral.
CCAAGGCCAGAAAGGAUGCGCACACACCCCGAGAAGUACAACCCUAACAAAUUCUGUCUCUAUCAUCGUGACCACAGCCACGACACGGAGGAGUGCAUUCAGCUCCGAGAUAAGAUCGAGGAGCUCAGUAGAUGAGGUCGGCUCGAUAGAUUCAUUCGACACCGGUCUAAAGGUAGGAAAGAUCAGCCGAGGGCCCUGCCACAACUGGAGCC